Molecule: long non-coding RNA, 1618 nt
Organism: Ictidomys tridecemlineatus (thirteen-lined ground squirrel)
Lineage: Eukaryota; Metazoa; Chordata; Mammalia; Rodentia; Sciuridae
Source: Ensembl
UAAUAUAAUAUGCUUGGCACUCCUUUUUUGCAUUUUAGAAUCAGGUAAUCUGUCAGUCCACUCCAUGAAAGGCAGUUCACCAAGUCCUCAGAGGCGGCAGUGGGAGAAAAAUGUACCCAGCACAACUCUUAGAGCUUUGGAAAAUGCACCCAUACUCACCUCCAGUUUAACUGCAGAGGAUGAUAGAGGUGGUUCUAUAAUAAAGUAUAGUGAAAAUAACACCCGUAAGCAGUGGCUCAGAGAGACCCCUGAUACCCUAUUGAACAUCCUUAGCAAUGCUGAUCUCAGCCUGGCAUUUCAAACGUACACAAUAUAUAGACCAGGUUCAGAAGGAUUUUUGAAAGGCCCCCUAUCUGAUGAAACAGAAGUAUCAGACAGUGUUGAUGGAGAUCACAAUUCUGUCAUUUUUGAUCCAGAGAGACUCGAACCUAGGCUGGAUGAAGAAGACACGGACUUUGAGGAAGAUGACGACGACCUUGAUUGGGUGUCAGAAUUGAGGAAGCGAGCUGAAUGGCAGGGUGUGUGCGAUGGAUAACGCCUGCCCGAGAGAAUGUGCUGGAGUCCCAUGGGAGAGAUGUUUCAAAUGAAGAAUUCACGUUUGGAAAUAGAAUGAAGAGUGGGGAACUGCCAAUACUUAAAAUUGCUCCUGAUUAGCAUCACAGUUUUAAAAAUCUAGAACUCCUAUGAGUGAGCACAAGUGAGAAGGUAGAGCAGACGGGUAUGAGCUUUGCAAUCUGAUAGAACAUAGGUUGGAUGCUAGCUCUACCACUAACCAGUAGUGUGAUCGAUGGUAGGAAAUUACUUCACUUCUUUGACCCCAAAUUUUCUUAGUUUUAAAAUGAGGAUAAUGAUGCCUACCCCUUGGGGAUGUUGACCAUAGAUAGUUUUAGCAGCUCAUAUGUUAACUAUUCCUGUUGCUACAACUUGUGUUUAUUACUAUAACAAUUUUCACAUUUCCUCAAGGUUUGCAGAUCUAAAUACAUUUACUUAGAAUAUAAUGUGUGCGAUUUUAUUUAUUUAUUUGGUACUGGGAAUUGAAUUCAAGGGCACUUAACUACUGAGCUGGCCCUCAAAUUUGUAUUUUAUUUAGAGACAGGGUCUCACUGAGUUGCUAAGGGCCUCACUAUGUUGCUGAGACUGGCUUUGAACUUGUAACCCUCCUGCUUCAGCUUCCUGAGCUGCUGGGAUUAUAGGCAUGCGCUGCUGUGCCCAGCAUAUGUGCAGUUUUUAAAUAAGAUCUAGCUCUGGGUAGUUAUCCUUAAGUACAGAUUCUUAUAGGAUAUACAAAAGAACCCAGUCAGAGGAUUAGCUAUGGGGAGAAUGAGGUGGAUUGUGAUUAGCUCCUUGAAGGUAGUCACUACUCUCUUAAAAAAAAGUUAAGGCAGGCAAGGAUAGUUUUAAAGUAUUUACAGAUCCUCAAUUUCCAUAUACACUAUAUUUUAUAGCUCUCAGUCAUCUCAAAUCUUAGCAUUGCCCCAGGGUGUAAACAUUUCCAAACCAUCAAUUAAAGGCAUCUUGAAUGUAUAAGAGGCUGAAUGAGUCUUGGAUUAAUUAUUUUGAAAAUCCAAUGGUUUGUAGGAUUGUUUGCUUCAAUAAAAUUUCAGGAAGUGAAUGGAAU